AUACGGAGGGUGCAAGCGUUAAUCGGAAUUACUGGGCGUAAAGCGUACGUAGGCGGCAAGUUAAGUUAGAUGUGAAAGCCCCGGGCUCAACCUGGGAACUGCAUUUAAAACUGGCUUGCUAGAGUUGAGUAGAGGGGAGUGGAAUUUCAGGUGUAGCGGUGAAAUGCGUAGAGAUCUGAAGGAACACCAGUGGCGAAGGCGACUCCCUGGACUCGAACUGACGCUGAGGUACGAAAGCGUGGGUAGCAAACAGGAUUAGAAACCCCGGUAGUCC
RNAcentral lists this ribosomal RNA (274 nucleotides) under uncultured bacterium. RNAcentral describes it as "partial 16S ribosomal RNA". It matches the Rfam family "Bacterial small subunit ribosomal RNA", at positions 523 to 796 of the family's 1533-position model. The record is from RNAcentral.